AAGGAAAUGAUGGAAAAGGUCACAUUAGAGAGUGAAAUGAUAAAAAUGUCACCUAGUUUCCCACUUGAUAAAAAGGUCCAUAAUGAAUUGUUAAUAAUAUUAAUUUAGUCCUUAUGAAUAAUGAGGUGAUGUUAAAAAAAGUCAGUUUUUAAUUUUUCUGAUUCCCAUUCUACCCUUAAAGCCUAAUACACGUUUAUAACUUUAAUACACUAAACCCCAACCUCUAUACCUCCGAUGUCGUCCAAAACCUACGCCUCUAAUGUCCUCCAAGUCUCCUUCCAAAUCGAACAGCUGCCGAUCACCGCAGCUCUCUCCAAGUUCUUCUUCUAUGUCCUCUCUCAGAGCCUCGUCGUCGAGUUGAUGUCGCGGACUUCGAGGUUCCGAAACGGCGUAGUUUCGAUUACGGAAGCAGUGCGGUUUGGGUUUCGAAGAAUUCAAUGAAGCUGGAAGACUGGAGUGAAGCUCUAACAUAUUGCAGAUUGACCAUUGCUGUGUAUCACAACACAAAUGUGCUGCAAAGAACAUGGCCUAUUGUGGAAUCAGCCUUAGAAGAGUAUGGCCUUCAUGCACUCUGGAUCUGAGAAACCAAGACGUCCUUAUGAGAAGGAACAUGUGGAUGUUGAGCUAAAGCUUGUUAGAGAAUAUGGGUUUCGGUGCAAGAGGGAGUUGUGGAGGGUCUAGUAUAUGCUUUGACCCGCAUCCUUAAUGCUGCUAUGGAACUUCUUACCCUGGACAAGAAAAACUCUCGCCGUAUCUUCAGACCCAGUUGUGGUUAUAUUUUAUUUUGUUCAAUGUGCUUAUGGGAGGUUGUUCUAAUUGGAAAAAGUGUUGUGGUUGUACUUUGACUAAAAUCACUUGAAAUCUUCCUGGAAUCACAAUAAAAUCUUCUUACUAAU
Rosa rugosa (rugosa rose) is the source of this 896-nucleotide long non-coding RNA. RefSeq lists it as uncharacterized. The record is from RefSeq and is a predicted model, not a curated record. The transcript has 4 exons. NCBI's taxonomy places the organism in Eukaryota, Viridiplantae, Streptophyta, Magnoliopsida, Rosales, Rosaceae.